RNAcentral lists this transfer RNA (77 nucleotides) under Verrucomicrobium sp. RNAcentral's name for it is "tRNA-Arg". It matches the Rfam family "tRNA". Rfam says of the family: Transfer RNA (tRNA) molecules are approximately 80 nucleotides in length. Their secondary structure includes four short double-helical elements and three loops (D, anti-codon, and T loops). Further hydrogen bonds mediate the characteristic L-shaped molecular structure. tRNAs have two regions of fundamental functional importance: the anti-codon, which is responsible for specific mRNA codon recognition, and the 3' end, to which the tRNAs corresponding amino acid is attached (by aminoacyl-tRNA synthetases). tRNAs cope with the degeneracy of the genetic code in two manners: having more than one tRNA (with a specific anti-codon) for a particular amino acid; and 'wobble' base-pairing, i.e. permitting non-standard base-pairing at the 3rd anti-codon position. RNAcentral also lists the same sequence under 6 other names. The record is from RNAcentral. Lineage: Bacteria; Pseudomonadati; Verrucomicrobiota; Verrucomicrobiia; Verrucomicrobiales; Verrucomicrobiaceae.
GCACCCGUAGCUCAAUUGGAUAGAGCGGCUGACUACGGAUCAGCAGGUUCCAGGUUCAACUCCUGGCGGGUGCACCA